RNAcentral lists this ribosomal RNA (248 nucleotides) under uncultured bacterium. RNAcentral describes it as "partial 16S ribosomal RNA". It matches the Rfam family "Bacterial small subunit ribosomal RNA", at positions 523 to 769 of the family's 1533-position model. The record is from RNAcentral.
AUACGUAGGUCCCGAGCGUUGUCCGGGAUUUAUUGGGCGUAAAGCGAGCGCAGGCGGUUUCUUAAGUCUGAUGUGAAAGCCCCCGGCUCAACCGGGGAGGGUCAUUGGAAACUGGGAAACUUGAGUGCAGAAGAGGAGAGUGGAAUUCCAUGUGUAGCGGUGAAAUGCGUAGAUAUAUGGAGGAACACCAGUGGCGAAGGCGGCUCUCUGGUCUGUAACUGACGCUGAGGCUCGAAAGCGUGGGGAGC